RNAcentral lists this long non-coding RNA (766 nucleotides) under Phoenix dactylifera (date palm). RNAcentral describes it as "long non-coding RNA (PDAC_LNC018066)". Lineage: Eukaryota; Viridiplantae; Streptophyta; Magnoliopsida; Arecales; Arecaceae. The record is from RNAcentral.
GGGGGUCACGGAUCCCUGUUUCGCCGAAGGAGAAGAGGGGAGUCGGGAGAGAAAAGAAGAAAGAAGAAAAAGAAAAGAAGGAAAAAGAAAAGAGAAAAGAAGAAGAAAAAAAGAAAAAAAAGAAAAGGAAAAAUAAUAAUAAUAAUAAUAAAGAGAGGAGGUGGUUUACGGGUAUGAACCCAAACUCAGGGUGCUAGGCACUCCUGCAGGGCCAGCUAUUGGAGGAUAUUAAAAUUUAAGUUUUUGUAUACAUAUAUUGUGAUGAAUUUUAAAAGAAGAAUAUGAUUUUUGAAUAUUAGGUUUUGCGAGAGAUUUACGGAAUUAAUUGGAUUUGUUGUGGAUCGCGUUCGCAAGGUAAGUGAUGUAACCUUUUUUCUAGAUUUAUCGGCAAGCUAUAUAUAUAUAUUGUUUUACGAAUCGAAUUAUUCGUGAUUUCGAAUUUGAUGCAUGGAUUAUAUGUAUAUUUUUAGAAUAUUGUAUGACUCUGAUUGAACGUAUUUGCUUCUGACAUCGUGCCUUUCGGCCUAGAACAUUGAACAUAUGUAAAAAAAGAUAAUGACUUGAAAUAGAUUCAGACUUGCAGUCGGGCUAUGUUGAGGACCCUGCCAAUGGGGGCUAAUACAUUGGUACCGCAAGAAGAAGUCGGUGAUAUGACCCUGCCACAAGGAACAUGUGGUCAUAGUUCCUGUCUAUUGAGUUGAAUCUGAUAAAUUGAAAGAAAUUAAGAAUAUAAACGAUAUUUGGUUUUGACAUUGCAUGUUUUCAU